This 278-nucleotide ribosomal RNA is filed under the name uncultured bacterium. RNAcentral's name for it is "partial 16S ribosomal RNA". It matches the Rfam family "Bacterial small subunit ribosomal RNA", at positions 506 to 784 of the family's 1533-position model. The record is from RNAcentral.
UGCCAGCCGCCGCGGUAAUACGAAGGGACCUAGCGUAGUUCGGAAUUACUGGGCGUAAAGCGUACGUAGGCGGAUUAAUAAGUUAGAGGUGAAAUCCCAGGGCUCAACCCUGGAACUGCCUUUAAAACUGUUAGUCUUGAGAUCGAGAGAGGUGAGUGGAAUUCCAAGUGUAGAGGUGAAAUUCGUAGAUAUUUGGAGGAACACCAGUAGCGAAGGCGACUCUUUGGUAAAAACUGACGUUGAGGGACGAAAGUGUAGGGAGCAAACAGGAUUAGAAU